GACGAACGCUGGCGGCGUGCCUAACACAUGCAAGUCGAACGGAAAGGCCCUGCUUGCACGGUACCCGAGGGGCGAACGGGUGAGUAACACCUGGGCGACCGGCCCGGCCCUCCGGGCUAAGCCGGUGCUACUCGGGCUAAUACCGGGCAGGGGCCAUCUUGAGCGAUGUGGUUCGAAAGAUUUUUCGGUGUAGGCUGAGCUCGCGGGCUAGCAGCUUGUCGGAGGGGUAAUGGCCUACCUAGGCGGCGACGGGUAGCCGGCCUGGGAGGGUGGACGGCCACAGUGGGACUGAGAUGCGGCCCAGACUCCUACGGGAGGGAGCAGUGGGGAAAAUUGCACAAUGGGAGCAAGCCUGAUGCAGCGACGCCGCGGGGGGGAUGAAGGCCUUCGGGUUGGAGACUCAAUUCGCUAGGGACGAAGCUUUUUGUGACGGUACCUAGAGAAGAAGCCCCGGCUAACUACGUG
RNAcentral lists this ribosomal RNA (465 nucleotides) under uncultured bacterium. RNAcentral's name for it is "partial 16S ribosomal RNA". It matches the Rfam family "Bacterial small subunit ribosomal RNA", at positions 28 to 507 of the family's 1533-position model. The record is from RNAcentral.